GUCAGUGGUCUUCAUCUAUCCCAUCGUAUUUCCUUUAUCAUAUUUCUCAGUUUUAUUCAGCUUCCAUCAGGGAAAAUCAAGGUUUUUCUGCCUUUCCUCUCUGAGUUACCACAAGGCCUGACGACACGCUGCUGCUGCACCAGGCAGGACGGGACGGCGGGCUUGUCUGCACUGCUGGAAAGCAAGCAGCCAGGAACGGGCAUGCACAAGCAACCUGCAGAGCUCGGUGACCACAUUUCUUUGGUGUCUGCUGCCCAGCUGGAAAAGAGGUGUGCCUCUCAGAGUGUGCAGCCCUGAGGACCACAGAGGGAGGUGGGAGCAGCACCGUGGAAGAUGGAACUUGACGAUGUUGGCAAUACGUCUCCAUGCAAAAAAACAAAGGUGUGUUUAUAAAGGCAUGUGCCAGGUUAAAGAGACAAAUGCUGU
This 426-nucleotide long non-coding RNA is filed under the name Gallus gallus (chicken). RNAcentral describes it as "long non-coding RNA NONGGAT009460". Lineage: Eukaryota; Metazoa; Chordata; Aves; Galliformes; Phasianidae. The record is from RNAcentral.